GUACACACCGCCCGUCGCUCCUACCGAUUGAACGGUCCGAUGAAAUCUUCGGAUCGGAGUACCCAUCUGCUGGGCAACCAGUAGUAGUGCACCGAAAAGUAGAGUGAAUCUUAUCGUUUAGAGGAAGGAGAAGUCGUAACAAGGUAUUCGUAGGUGAACCUGCAGAAGGAUCA
RNAcentral lists this ribosomal RNA (173 nucleotides) under uncultured eukaryote. RNAcentral describes it as "partial small subunit ribosomal RNA". It matches the Rfam family "Eukaryotic small subunit ribosomal RNA", at positions 1662 to 1828 of the family's 1831-position model. The record is from RNAcentral.